CAAUAGCGUAUAUUAAAGUUGUUGCGGUUAAAAAGCUCGUAGUUGGAUUUCUGCCGAGGACGACCGGUCCGCCCUCUGGGUGUGUAUCUGGUUUGGCCUGGGCAUCUUCUUGGAGAACGUAGCUGCACUUGACUGUGUGGUGCGGUGUCCAGGACUUUUACUUUGAGGAAAUUAGAGUGUUUCAAGCAGGCCUACGCUCUGAAUACAUUAGCAUGGAAUAACACGAUAGGACUCUGGCCUAUCUUGUUGGUCUGUAGGACCGGAGUAAUGAUUAAGAGGGACAGUCGGGGGCAUUCGUAUUUCAUUGUCAGAGGUGAAAUUCUUGGAUUUAUGAAAGACGAACUACUGCGAAAGCAUUUGCCAAGGAUGUUUUCAUUAA
Molecule: ribosomal RNA, 379 nt
Filed under: uncultured eukaryote
Lineage: Eukaryota
Description: partial 18S ribosomal RNA
Rfam family: Eukaryotic small subunit ribosomal RNA
Source: RNAcentral